This is a non-coding RNA of Cinara cedri, 217 nucleotides long. The record is from the annotation of a GenBank genome assembly. NCBI's taxonomy places the organism in Eukaryota, Metazoa, Arthropoda, Insecta, Hemiptera, Aphididae.
GGACACCUUUAACGGCGAACGGUAAAUUUCCCUAUAGAUCUCAGGUGCGCGUAUAGUCCUUUGGGAGCAUGGCUCGCGUAUUAUACCGCAAGGACGCUUAAGUGGCACGUUAAACUCGGUGGCAGUCUUAAACACAUUUAAGAAGGUUUGUUUUAUGCUCUUUCGCCGAGGACUUACGCCAACUCCCCUUUUCUUCCUCCCAUCACUAUCCGUCGCC